Molecule: ribosomal RNA, 324 nt
Filed under: Neoheteromita sp.
Lineage: Eukaryota; Cercozoa; Glissomonadida; Sandonidae
Description: SSU rRNA
Rfam family: Eukaryotic small subunit ribosomal RNA
Source: RNAcentral
GAUUUCUGACGAUUUGAUUUCAGGCCGGCCACGGUUUCGUGUGUUAGUGCUUGAAAUCUUCGUCAUCCUUCCAAUGGCUAUUCAUCCUUCUUCAUUGAGGUGGUGAGUGGUAUUGGAUCUUUUACUUUGAAAAAAUUAGAGUGUUUCAAGCAGGCUUUAUGCUAUGAAUACAUUAGCAUGGAAUAAUAAUUUAGGACUUCGGUUCUAUUUUGUUGGUUUCUAGGACUGAAGUAAUGAUUGAUAGGGACAGUUGGGGGUGCUAGUAUUCCGCGGCCAGAGGUGAAAUUCUUGGAUUCGCGGAAGACUAACUACUGCGAAAGCAUU